Molecule: ribosomal RNA, 541 nt
Filed under: uncultured Glomeromycotina
Lineage: Eukaryota; Fungi; Glomeromycota
Description: SSU rRNA
Rfam family: Eukaryotic small subunit ribosomal RNA
Source: RNAcentral
UGGAGGGCAAGUCUGGUGCCAGCAGCCGCGGUAAUUCCAGCUCCAAUAGCGUAUAUUAAAGUUGUUGCAGUUAAAAAGCUCGUAGUUGAAUUUCGGGGUUCUACCGUUGGUCGGGCUUUGUCUGUACUGGUGUGUAGAAUUUCUACCUUCUGGGGAACCAUCAUGCUAUUAAUUUAGCGUGGUGGGAAACCAGGACCUUUACCUUGAAAAAAUUAGUGUGUUCAAAGCAGGCUUAUGUCUGAAUACAUUAGCGUGGAAUAAUAGAAUAGGACGGUGGUCCUGUUUUGUUGGUUUCUGAAUCACCGUAAUGAUUAAUAGGGAUAGUUGGGGGCAUUAGUAUUCAAUUGUCAGAGGUGAAAUUCUUGGAUUUAUUGAAGACUAACUUCUGCGAAAGCAUUUGCCAAGGAUGUUUUCAUUAAUCAAGAACGAAAGUUAGGGGAUCGAAGACGAUCAGAUACCGUCGUAGUCUUAACCAUAAACUAUGCCGACUAGGGAUCGGACGAUGUUAAUUUUUCUUGACUCGUUCGGCGCCUUACGGGAA